RNAcentral lists this non-coding RNA (83 nucleotides) under Alicycliphilus denitrificans. RNAcentral describes it as "SAH sequence". It matches the Rfam family "SAH (S-adenosyl-L-homocysteine) riboswitch aptamer". RNAcentral also lists the same sequence under 1 other name. Lineage: Bacteria; Pseudomonadati; Pseudomonadota; Betaproteobacteria; Burkholderiales; Comamonadaceae. The record is from RNAcentral.
GGUUCCGAGGAGCGUUGCAGCGUCCCCAGCUACCGGCGGGGCGUGAGGCUCGGAACCCAUUCUUGCAACGACGCUCACCCACG